CCUGGAGUUCAUUUACUGCGCAGGCUUUAGCGCUUUUAGAUGCAAUUGUGUGAUCAGAGGUGAUAUCCUGCUGUGAAAGAUCUGGAAACGUUUCUAGACAUCUCAUUCUUGUAACCGUACUUGAAAUUGAAAUUGUGCAGUGGAUGCAGCCUGUAGUUUUUGCUGGUAUCCUCAGCCAUGUUGUGGCAGUUCGGUGCUGUAUACCCAGACAUGUUUGUCUGGACUGCGGUGAUUCUUCCUAGUUAUGCUGUUUGUCUUUAGCUGCUGAUUCUCCUAUGUGAUAAGCUACUGAUCUCUCUUUAAAGGGAGAGAAGGGGUGGGGGGGAAAGCCCUUCUCUUCCCUUGCUCCCUGACCUCCAGAAUCUUCCUGCCUCCAGUGUCUGUUACUUGCAUUGUCUGUCUUUUAUGCUUUUAUUGCACCAGCUCCUCGGGCAGUCAGUGCCAUGGAAAGAAAGCUGACACACUGCUGCAGUUCUGUUCAGCAGAGUCCUGCCAGUGCUAAUCAGUCAGUGGUGUGUGUUGGCUAAAUGACAUAAGGUCCCUUGCAGCUUCUUUCAGGAUUUACUGCAAGUCAUUGCUUCUCAAUAGCAAUACGGUUUUUGUCCCCCAUGGCCUUCCCCACCCAAACUGGAUCAGCAGAGCCUUGGAUACCUGCCGCAUGUACUGUGGUUUCAUCACCAGCCUGCAAUGGUUGGUACAGGCACUGCUGAAUAGUAUGAUGUGGCUUAUUAGAUAACUGGAGACCUGCAGGUGGUUUGUAUGUGAGAAGCUGGCAUAACACUCGUCUCAGUUCAGCCGCUAUCUGUGGAGACUGGCAUCCCCAUGUAACUUGAGUCUUUAAAAGAAGAGUUCCAUCUGGUUUACGAGCUGCAGAGGUAUGAACUUGUCCCACCACUGAGUAAAAUCUUGCCCUCUUCCCUCCUGCUAAUUUCUUAGUGCCUUGGUUUUCCUCUGAGUGUGUGGUGUGGGUGUUCCUCCCCUCCUCCUGUUCACGGAAGGAUCGCUAACAGGAAUAUAUUGACUGAGUCGUUGGGACUCCAGUAUUCUCUACAUGAGUCACUAGCCUCAUUUGCUUGGGUACCUCUGGAGGCUGAAUAUUGUCCCCGUUCUUUCUCUUCCCCAUCUCUGAAAUAG
This 1134-nucleotide long non-coding RNA is filed under the name Struthio camelus australis. RNAcentral's name for it is "lncRNA (ENSSCUG00000003271.1)". The record is from RNAcentral. Lineage: Eukaryota; Metazoa; Chordata; Aves; Struthioniformes; Struthionidae.